This 596-nucleotide long non-coding RNA is filed under the name Rhinopithecus bieti (black snub-nosed monkey). Its description in RNAcentral is "lncRNA (ENSRBIG00000045181.1)". Lineage: Eukaryota; Metazoa; Chordata; Mammalia; Primates; Cercopithecidae. The record is from RNAcentral.
AUUCAAGGGCACUUCCUUAAUGUUGCAAGUGACUUAAGGAAACAAUCACUGGCCAUGGGCAGGCAGAAGAGAGUAGACUGAGCUGAAGGGAAAGUUACUGGUUUACCUCUGGAGUUUCCCUCUGUCCCUGAGUCUUUUCCUUUCCUAGGGCAAGAGCCACCCUAUGGGGUUGGAACAGGAUUUUGAGCCUCCUGCAAAGGUGCAUCCUGGGCCCUGGAGCCUGACUCCAUGCCAAGUGCUGAAGCUGUCACCAUGGUUAAGAUCCCCACCAUCUGCAGCCUACUACAGGGGAGGCUACACUCCUGAAGAAACGGGAUUUGGAGUUGUUCCAGCUGAUGUCAAAGACCACACACAAGGACAUGGACCUCAAUGGCUCAUUCACACGAGCAUGACAGUUACCCAGGAUGAACUGCAAAAAGCUAUCUGUGGAUGGUUAACUGCAGAAAAUUCAACUUUAUGCUGUCCAGAAGAGGCAUACUAACUCAUAAAAAUUAAAAGACUGACCCAGAAAGCACAGCAAAAAGAAAAAAAAAGUCACAAAAUGAUUGUCAGUCCAAUUAAAAUUCAAGACUGGAAGAAUUCAUGGGUCACAGAAG